This is a long non-coding RNA of Brassica rapa (field mustard), 3635 nucleotides long. RefSeq lists it as uncharacterized. The record is from RefSeq and is a predicted model, not a curated record. Lineage: Eukaryota; Viridiplantae; Streptophyta; Magnoliopsida; Brassicales; Brassicaceae.
CAGAUUUGAUGGGAACGAGCGGUUUCUCGGAGCUACUUAACUCCGGCUAUGUCGACAAAAAAGGGUUCUAGUGCUUCCUGCUGUUGUGAGAUACUUGAUUGCAUGUUUUAGUUUCGGUGGAAAGUUUUGUUUAUGGAAUUGUAAUGGAUUCUAAUAUCCAUGAGAGGCUGAAUGAUCGGUGUACCAGCCGGAACAUUUCCGACAGAAACUAGGGCUUCACGCUCAGGGUCGCUCAUUCCGUUGCCUGAUUCGCUGACAAGAGAGCGUCGCAGAGAUGUUGCAAUUGGAAGAGAAGUAAAGUAAUUCGAACUAUACUCAUUGUCGAUCUGCUGAGGGCAGUGUUCUUGGUGGAGUCUUGUCAGGUUUCUCCAAAACCGGGUACUUUACUCCACUCACUCACGUUCCUGCAUCAUAAUAUCCAUGAACCUCUGGCCAAACAUUAUUCCUAUGUCAGGAUUCUCCAAAGCCAGAACUUUCGUUGUUUUUUCUAUAAGCAAUGCAGUUCAAACUUAUCACGGAGGCUAACGGAUUCAAUAUGAAGAAUUCAUUUAAUCAGUUUAUUCCUCUGUGAAUUUUUCUAUGCACUUUUCAAAGCUGAAAAUAUCCUGCAAUGAUGUAUCAUUUUCACGGCCAUUGUCACAAAUUCUUUAAUCCGAGACUUGCAAAUGCAUAUAUUCAACACAUGAAAUAGAUGCUUGAAACUCACCUUUAAGUCUAUACUACAAAGUGGUGAAUAAAGACUCCCACUAACAUGCACUCUUCUAGUUUGAGACUUGGUCCUGUCAACAAUACAAAAAAAAGAUUUGAGUUGUGAGCUAAGGCACAAAACGUCUUGAAGAUAUAUUGAGGAUAUUUUACCUCUUGAGUUGCUCUUGCUUUAUUACUUGUCUAACAGACUCUGAAUCUCUUACUGCUCCAAUAUCAUCACGCUUCACGGAAUGUGAGGAUGCAUCAUUAAUGUAUCAUGGAUGACUUUCUCAGCUGAAGAGAGUGAGCUGGGUUUAAAUUCCUUUUCCCGAGCAAACAAAUGUGGAUUCCUCAUUAGAACACUCCCAUGUCCAAUCUCAACAGAGAACACUGACAUUUCAUUCUGAAAAAAGAAGAUCUUCCUCUGAUGAAAAUGAGACACGGCUAUUGCUGCUCUUGUAGAAUUUUGUAAAGAUCCGUCGUGAGCUUUUCAAUAGAAGAUGACUUGAAUGUCCAAUAUAUGUGCUCCCCUUUUAAGGAUUUUUUUUAAUUAAAAAAAAACUAUCAAAACCCCCAUAUAAACCCUCACCCAAAUCUUCAAAUUCCCACAAAAAUCUUCAAAUCCCCAUUUUUUGAUAAAACCUGAAAUUUUAUGAAAUCCCUAAUACGAGUUUUUGGCUCUCCAUAAACAAAUCUCAAGAGUGAAACUCCAAAUAUAGAGUUUCACUUUUCAAAACUUCAAAUUUAAAGUUUCAUCUUUUUAUUUGUAUUUUGGUCCUUACAAUUAUACAUCAUAUUUAUAAUUCUUAAAUAUAUUUUUGUUUAUUGUUUUAAUCCUUAAAACUUUUCUAUCUCAUAAAUAUUUCAAAUUUGUUUUAUAAAUUUAAGUUUUAUACAUGAAAUUAAAUAAAAAAAUUAAAACAAGAUUUAUAAUAUUUUAAAACUAGAAUUAAACAACAAGAAUAUUACAAAAAACCAUAAUAAAAACUUAUUAAAAAGACACAUGAAGACAUAAUUAUUACUCAAAUUUAAAUAUUAUAACAACACUAAUAGUCUGGUAAAUUUGCCCCGGAACCUCCCAAAUCUCAAAAUUAUUGUCCAAACAAAUUUUAUGUAACCGAAGAUAAUUGUUGUUGUUGCUCUUGACGCCUUUUUUGUACGAUUCUUUCUUGUUCAGAUCGAAUGUAUUCACGAAUAUUGACAUCGUCGAUAGAAACUAAGUUUUUUUAGCAAUAUUUUAUUUUCUUCUUUUACUUCUUUAAAAGCUAACUUUUUUGCUUCAUUUUGCAGUCGUAAUUCAAUCAUCUCAUGACUUUUUUUCCUGUUUGUUGUACUUUCGUUUAAAAGAUCAAGGAUUUUUUCGUUUAAUAAUAUCAAACUAUCAGCGGCCAUAUUAUUACCUUAAGUAGUCUUCAUGUAGCAGGAUCAUCUCGUUACUGGAAGAAGGAAGUAUUGCAUGAUAUAAUAACGGCAUGCAUUAUAAUUCAUAACAUGAUAAUUGAGGAUGAACAUGAUAUCAAUGUGCCGAUAAAGGAUACAAGAUCAAUGGCAGGAGCAACAGUUGAAAUGACGGAAAAUGAGGAUAUCCGAUUUCAACAAUUUUUAGCUCGUAAUCUACAAAUAAAAAAUAAAGAGAAUCAUUUCUUACUUCGAAAUGCACUAGUUGAUCAUAUAUGAGAGCAUUACGGAAAUAAUUUUAUGGAAUAAUGUAGUAUUUGCUUGCAGUUUAAUAUUUAAUUAUGUAUUUUUAUUUAUAAUUUUAUAUUUUAGUGUAAGAUUUUAAUAAUUAAUAUUUCUGUAAUAUUUAUAUAUAUGUACUAGUUAUUUAUAGAAGUUUUAAGAAUUUACAUUAACUAUGACAAAUAUAAGGACCAUAGCAUAGAAUAUAAAUAAUUUUGCAGUCGUAAUUCAAUCAUCUCAUGAAUUUUUUCCCUGUUUGUUGUACUUUCGUUUAAAAGAUCAAAAUUUUUUUCGUUUGAUGAUAUCAAACUAUCAGCGGCCAUAUUAUUACCUUCAGUAGUCUUCAUGUAGCAGGAUCAUCUCGUUACUGGAAGAAGGAAGUAUUGCAUGAUAUAAUGACGGCAUGCAUUAUUAUGCAUAACAUGAUAAUUGAGGAUGAACGUGAUAUCAAUGUGCCGAUAAAAGAUACAAGAUCAAUGGCAGAAGCAACAGUUGAAAUGACGGAAAAUGAGGAUAUCCGAUUUCAAUAAUUUUUGGCUUGUAAUCUACAUAUAAAAAAUAUUUCUUACUUCGACAUGCACUAGUUGAUCAUAUAUGGGAGCAUUACGGAAAUAAUUUUAUGGAAUAAUGUAGUAUUUGCUUGCAGUUUAAUAUUUAAUUAUGUACUUUUAUUUAUAAUUUUAUAUUUUAUGUAAGAUUUUUAUAAUUAAUAUUUCUGUAAUAUUUAUAUAUAUGUACUAGUUAUUUGUAUAAGUUUUAAGAAUUUACAUUAACUAUGACAAAUAUAAGGACCAUAGCAUAAAAUAUAAAUAAUUUUGAAGUUAGGUUUGAAGUUUUACUUUUGGAAAAAAACACAUUGAAACUUCAAAUAUAGAGUUUUGGAAACUUCAAAUAUAGAGUUUUGGAAACUUCAAAAUAGAGUUCCUUUUGGGAGAUGCUCUAACUAAAUCUAUAAAAUUUAACAUAAAUAUGGAUGUUUAAGUUUCAAUUGUUUUGAUCAAAUUAUUUUUAACAAUAUACUCAAUCUUGAUACGCAUCCGUGCAGAUUUUUUUUAUACUAAAAUAUUAUAAUUUAUAUAACAUUAUCAUGUAUCAAUAUUAUUUCACAUAAUUUUUGUAUUUUUUAAAAGAAAUUAUUUUGUAAACAUUAUUAAGUAACAAUACUAUUUUUCAUAACUUAAUGUUUCAUUUCUAAAAUUUGGAAUUUAUACGGAAAUUAAAUUGAAAUGAACUUAUAUAAUAGAGAUGAUUUUUUUUGAGCUACUAUU